AGAGAGAGACAUGCGCGCAUAUCAAUAAGCGGAGGAAAAGAAACUAACAAGGAUUCCCUUAGUAACGGCGAGUGAAGCGGGAAGAGCUCAAAUUUGAAAUCUUCAAGGUUCUACCUUGACGAAUUGUAGUUUAUAGAAGUGUUUUCUGUUAGUGGAGUGGCAAAAGUUCUUUGGAAUAGGACAUCAUAGAGGGUGAGAAUCCCGUAUUUGGUCAUUCCUCCUAGCGUUGUGAUACACUUUCAACGAGUCGGAUUGUUUGGGAAUGCAGUCCAAAAUGGGUGGUAAAUUUCAUCUAAAGCUAAAUAUUGGCGAGAGACCGAUAGCGAACAAGUACCGUGAGGGAAAGAUGAAAAGAACUUUGAAAAGAGAGUUAAACAGUACGUGAAAUUGUCAAAAGGGAAGCGUUUGACACCAGUGUUGUUUUUCCGAAAAUCAAUUACGAAUGUUUUAGUUUUUGAGGAGUUAUGACUUCAUCGGCUUGCUCCUUUCUUUAUGAAACUUUCUUAAUGCACUUUUCGGUUAACAAGUCAACAUCAAUUUCUUUUGUUGUAAAAGGGUAUGAGGAAGGUGGCUUUCUUUUCGGAGAAAGUGUUUAUAGCCUUGUGCCUCUGCAAUCGGAGAGAUUGAGGUCUGCAGCGUAGAUCCUUCGGGGUUAGAUACGUAGAUGCUAAGUUAUAGCUUUUUAUAGACAACUUGUUGACUAUGAUUAGUCAUGUAGCUUACUCGUUGACGCUAUUUUACCUACGCUUAGGAUGUUGAUAGUCACAGCGUGUAC
Molecule: ribosomal RNA, 775 nt
Filed under: uncultured Neocallimastigales
Lineage: Eukaryota; Fungi; Neocallimastigomycota; Neocallimastigomycetes; Neocallimastigales
Description: partial large subunit ribosomal RNA
Rfam family: Eukaryotic large subunit ribosomal RNA
Source: RNAcentral